RNAcentral lists this ribosomal RNA (497 nucleotides) under uncultured bacterium. RNAcentral's name for it is "partial 16S ribosomal RNA". It matches the Rfam family "Bacterial small subunit ribosomal RNA", at positions 28 to 507 of the family's 1533-position model. The record is from RNAcentral.
GAUGAACGCUGGCGGCGUGCCUAAUACAUGCAAGUCGAGCGAACAGACGAGGAGCUUGCUCCUCUGACGUUAGCGGCGGACGGGUGAGUAACACGUGGAUAACCUACCUAUAAGACUGGGAUAACUUCGGGAAACCGGAGCUAAUACCGGAUAAUAUAUUGAACCGCAUGGUUCAAUAGUGAAAGACGGUUUUGCUGUCACUUAUAGAUGGAUCCGCGCCGCAUUAGCUAGUUGGUAAGGUAACGGCUUACCAAGGCAACGAUGCGUAGCCGACCUGAGAGGGUGAUCGGCCACACUGGAACUGAGACACGGUCCAGACUCCUACGGGAGGCAGCAGUAGGGGAUCUUCCGCAAUGAGCGAAAGCCGGACGGAGCAACGCCGCGUGGGUGAUGAAGGUCUUCGUAUCGUAAAACUCUGUUAUUAUGGAAGAACAAAUGUGUAAGUAACUAUGCACGUCUUGACGGUACCUAAUCAGAAAGCCACGGCUAACUACGUG